ACUGAAUAGAUACCCGGGUAGUCCACGCCCUAAACGAUGGAUACUAGGCGUGAGAGGUAUCGACCCCUCUCGUGCCGCAGCUAACGCACUAAGUAUCCCGCCUGGGGAGUACGGCCGCAAGGUUGAAACUCAAAUGAAUUGACGGGGACCCGGCACAAGCGGUGGAGCAUGUGGAUUAAUUCGAUACUAACCGAAGAACCUUACCCAGACUUGACAUCGAUGGUAAGCCUGCGAAAGCAGGCCCUCCCUCUCAAGGGGACCAGAAGACACUUGUUGCAUGGCUGUCGUCAGCUCGUGCCGUGAGGUGUACGGUUAAGUCCGCCAACGAGCGCAACCCUCGUCCUGUGUUACCAGCAUGAAAGAUGGGCACUCACAGGAGACCGCCGGUGUAAGCCGGAGGAAGGUGGGGAUGACGUCAAGUCAGCAUGGCAGUUACGUCUGGGGCUUCACACAUGCUACAAUGGGCGCAACAGAGGGCCGCAAAGCCGCGAGGCGGAGCU
RNAcentral lists this ribosomal RNA (500 nucleotides) under uncultured bacterium. Its description in RNAcentral is "bacterial SSU rRNA". It matches the Rfam family "Bacterial small subunit ribosomal RNA", at positions 772 to 1269 of the family's 1533-position model. The record is from RNAcentral.